GUCAGGAUAGCUCAGUUGGUAGAGCAGAGACU
This 32-nucleotide transfer RNA is filed under the name Avenella flexuosa. RNAcentral describes it as "partial tRNA-Phe". Lineage: Eukaryota; Viridiplantae; Streptophyta; Magnoliopsida; Poales; Poaceae. The record is from RNAcentral. RNAcentral also lists the same sequence under 1 other name.